This 253-nucleotide ribosomal RNA is filed under the name uncultured bacterium. Its description in RNAcentral is "partial 16S ribosomal RNA". It matches the Rfam family "Bacterial small subunit ribosomal RNA", at positions 524 to 776 of the family's 1533-position model. The record is from RNAcentral.
UACGAAGGGGGCUAGCGUUGUUCGGAAUUACUGGGCGUAAAGCGCGUGUAGGCGGGUCUUUAAGUCAGGGGUGAAAUGCCAAGGCUCAACCUUGGAACUGCCUUUGAUACUGGAGACCUUGAGUCCGGGAGAGGUGAGUGGAAUUGCGAGUGUAGAGGUGAAAUGCGUAGAUAUCGGAAGGAACACCAGUGGCGAAAGGCGGCUCACUGGCCCAUUACUGACGCUGAGCACGAAAGCGUGGGGAGCAAACAGG